GUUUGAUCAUGGCUCAGGAUGAACGCUGGCGGCGCACAUAAGACAUGCAAGUCGAACGGACUUAACCGAGAUGUUUACAUUUUGGAGCGGUUAGUGGCGGACUGGUGAGUAACACGUAAGCAACCUGCCUAUUAGAGGGGAAUAACAGUGAGAAAUCAUUGCUAAUACCGCAUAUGCUGUGAGUAUCGCAUGAUACAAGCAGGAAAGGAGCAAUCCGCUAAUAGAUGGGCUUGCGUCUGAUUAGAUAGUUGGUGGGGUAACGGCCUACCAAGUCGACGAUCAGUAGCCGAACUGAGAGGUUGAACGGCCACAUUGGGACUGAGAUACGGCCCAGACUCCUACGGGAGGCAGCAGUCGGGAAUAUUGCACAAUGGAGGAAACUCUGAUGCAGUGACGCCGCGUGCAGGAAGAAGGCUUUCGGAUUGUAAACUGCUUUAGAUGGGGAAGAAAAAAGACUGUACCCAUAGAAUAAGCUCCGGCUAACUACGUGCCAGCAGCCGCGGUAAUACGUAGGGAGCAAGCGUUGUCCGGAUUUAUUGGGUGUAAAGGGUGCGUAGACGGGUUAAUAAGUUAGUUGUGAAAUCCCUCGGCUCAACUGAGGAACUGCAACUAAAACUGUUAAUCUUGAGUGCGGGAGAGGAAAGUGGAAUUCCUAGUGUAGCGGUGAAAUGCGUAGAUAUUAGGAGGAACACCAGUGGCGAAGGCGACUUUCUGGACCGUAACUGACGUUGAGGCACGAAAGUGUGGGGAGCAAACAGGAUUAGAUACCCUGGUAGUCCACACCGUAAACGAUGGAUACUAGGUGUAGGGGGUAUUAAGCCUUCUGUGCCGUCGCAAACGCAGUAAGUAUCCCACCUGGGGAGUACGACCGCAAGGUUGAAACUCAAAGGAAUUGACGGGGGCCCGCACAAGCAGUGGAGUAUGUGGUUUAAUUCGAAGCAACGCGAAGAACCUUACCAGGGCUUGACAUAUACAGGAAUAUAUAAGAGAUUAUAUAGUUCUUCGGAACCUGUAUACAGGUGGUGCAUGGUUGUCGUCAGCUCGUGUCGUGAGAUGUUGGGUUAAGUCCCGCAACGAGCGCAACCCCUGUUUCUAGUUGCCAGCGAGUAAAGUCGGGAACUCUAGAGAGACUGCCGGUGACAAAUCGGAGGAAGGUGGGGACGACGUCAAAUCAUCAUGCCCUUUAUGUCCUGGGCUACACACGUACUACAAUGGCUAUAACAAAGAGAAGCGAAGCAGUGAUGUGGAGCGAAACUCAAAAAAUAGUCUCAGUUCGGAUUGAAGGCUGAAAUUCGCCUUCAUGAAGCCGGAAUUGCUAGUAAUGGCAGGUCAGCAUACUGCCGUGAAUACGUUCCCGGGCCUUGUACACACCGCCCGUCACACCAUGAGAGUUGGGAAUACCCGAAGCCUG
Molecule: ribosomal RNA, 1411 nt
Filed under: uncultured bacterium
Lineage: Bacteria
Description: bacterial SSU rRNA
Rfam family: Bacterial small subunit ribosomal RNA
Source: RNAcentral